AGUAAAGUCAGCUAAUUCAAGCUCUCAGGCCCAUACCCUGAAAAUGAAGGUUAAAACCCCUCCUUUACGA
Molecule: transfer RNA, 70 nt
Filed under: Marilyna darwinii (Darwin toadfish)
Lineage: Eukaryota; Metazoa; Chordata; Actinopteri; Tetraodontiformes; Tetraodontidae
Description: tRNA-Met
Rfam family: tRNA
About the family: Transfer RNA (tRNA) molecules are approximately 80 nucleotides in length. Their secondary structure includes four short double-helical elements and three loops (D, anti-codon, and T loops).
Source: RNAcentral